AGAGUUAAACAGUACGUGAAAUUGUUGAAAGGGAAACGAUUGAAGCCAGUCGUACCAGCGGAUAAUCAACCUUUAGAUGCGAUUUUAUGAAGUGUGAGGAGCUAAUCGCCUUCAUGCCUGUAUAUUCGUAUACUUGGGGUGUACUUAUUCGUGUGGUAAGUUAACAUCAAUUUUGGUUGUCAUAAAAUGAUUGGAGGAAUGUAGCUUCGAUCUCGUAUUGAAGUGUUAUAGCCUUUGGUAGAUGUGAUGAUCGGGAUUGAGGAUUGCAACGGAUACCCUUCGGGGCUACUUGUCUGAUCUCUGAUUGUUGCUCUGGUGCUGAAAGCGUGCUUAUAGUUAUCAAAGUCGAUAGUCAAUAGGUUAGAAUGGGUUAAAUUCGUUAAGGAUGUUGACGUAAUGGCUUUAAACGA
This 410-nucleotide unclassified non-coding RNA is filed under the name uncultured Glomeromycotina. Its description in RNAcentral is "sequence contains 28S rRNA gene". The record is from RNAcentral. Lineage: Eukaryota; Fungi; Glomeromycota.